RNAcentral lists this ribosomal RNA (496 nucleotides) under uncultured bacterium. RNAcentral's name for it is "bacterial SSU rRNA". It matches the Rfam family "Bacterial small subunit ribosomal RNA", at positions 26 to 509 of the family's 1533-position model. The record is from RNAcentral.
AGAACGAACGCUGGCGGCGCGCCUAAUACAUGCAAGUCGAGCGAGAAGACGUAGCAAUACGUUUGUAAAGCGGCGAACGGGUGAGGAAUACAUGGGUAACCUACCCUCGAGUGGGGAAUAACUAGCCGAAAGGUUAGCUAAUACCGCGUACGCUCCUUGGACUUCGGUUCAGGGAGGAAAGCGAUACCGUGGGUAUCGCGCUCUUGGAUGGGCUCAUGUCCUAUCAGCUUGUUGGUGAGGUAACGGCUCACCAAGGCUUCGACGGGUAGCUGGUCUGAGAGGACGAUCAGCCACACUGGCACUGCGACACGGGCCAGACUCCUACGGGAGGCAGCAGUCGGGAAUUUUGGGCAAUGGGCGAAAGCCUGACCCAGCAACGCCGCGUGAAGGAUGAAAUCCCUCGGGAUGUAAACUUCGCAAGAACGGGAAGAAUAAGUGGAAGCUAAUACCUUCCAUGAUGACGGUACCGUUUGUAAGCUCCGGCUAACUCCGUGCC